GUCAGCUGAUUUUGAGAUGGGGAGAUUAUCCUGGGUUAUCCAGAUGGGCCCAAUGUAAUCAAGGGUCCUGAAAAGUGGGAGAAGAAGGCAGAAGAGUCAGAGAGAGUAUGUGAUGUGAGAAAAACUCAACCAGCCAUUACUGGCUCUAAAGAUGGAGGGAGGGGCCACGAGCCAAGGAACGGAGGCAGCCUCUAGAAGCUGGAAAAGGCCAGGACAAGGAUUCUCCCCUCCGACUUCUAGGAAGAAAUGCAGCCCUACCAACACUUUGAUUUUAGCCCCAGGAAGCCCAUCUUGGACUCUUGAUCUCCAGAACUGUAAGGAGAAAAUCGAAGCUCCAAGAGGCUAAAUAAUUGCUGAAGUCACAUGGUCAAUAAUUGAGGGGUCCAGGACCUGUGCCCAGGCAAGUUUGCUCCACAGUCGGUGUUCCUGGACGCUGUACUCUGAUACUUGGAAUUUUCUGGAAAACCUGCCCUUAAUCUUAGUGCGACUCAGAGACGCUGGUCAAUGAUGAAUUUGAUGACUGCUGCAAGGGCCUCUCUGUGUCUGGAGAUGAGUCAGGGGAGCACCUCACCAGGAUCAAAGGACCAUUGGGGCAGAAAAGAAGCUUGGAUUUUCUCCGUUAUGGUUAAAUUUCAUUAGUAUAUUGUCUCUGAUUGAAGAUGUGUAAUAGUGAUGAAUGGCAGAAAUGCAGUAUUCUGAAAACUCCAUAAAAUCGGUUUUAGGAAAAAAAAAAAGAUUGCUACCUGAAGUAAACACAGCACUAGUGGCUUAUCUGGAAGAACUGGGUUCCACUAAAUUUAUCCUUCCCCAAUUAAUGAGAAAUCCUCUAAUAACAUUAAUUAAUAUUAACAAUUCUGAUUAUGCCAAUAGAUCAUACAUUUAUUCAAUCAGCAAACCUUUCUUGUACACAGUUUAUGCCCAGUAUCAUGCCAGGUGUGGGGAGACACUGAUUAAUGAGAUAGUGUCUCUGCUCAUAAUGAGGUCACACUGAGGAACUCUCCAGGAGAGAAGCAGCACGAUGUGGUCAGUAUGAAGGACGCGGAGAGCAGCUGACCCCUCAGAGAGGACAGCCUCAGGGGAAAGGUGAUGUUUUUGCUGCCCUUUAGAGAAUUCCUCUGAAAGGAUGAGCGGCAAAGCUAGGGUGCUGGAUGCUCUCCAUUUGCUCCUCCAUAUCCCUCCACCUCACGCCUCCACGGUGCUGCGCCUUCUCUGGCUGACCUUUAUGGACUGUUUCAACUUGCUCCUUUGUCCCCAGGCUUCCAACUGAAUCUGUGCAAUGGGAGGUACUGGGAGCAGAUCAUAGCCUGGGAGGGGAAUGAGGUUUGACUCUUUACUCCUGUGGUUUCCUGCCUGCUGAACUGUGGGUUGACAGUGAUGUGGUGCUUCACUGAAGGUCACUGCUUCUUACGGGUGACCCUUUUCUAUACCUACAGCUCUCUCUCUUUGGGUUCUCAAGCAGCUCUCUCCCCUUGGAUUAUGCCUAUGUUUGAUCAUAGGUCCUUGCAGUUGCUAAAUUCUGAGUCUAAAACAUUCCUUUUGGUUUUAUUUUGACCUUGCACACAUCAUUAUAAAUAUCCCAGCUCAGCGUGAUGUCUAAUUCCUCUUGGGACACUGACUGACUUAGCAAGUACAUACCGUGUCUCUGAAAGGUACAGCUUACACAAAGUGGUGGUUCACUGAUUUCCUCCGAAAGGCGUGUCCUCUGACUGCGUCCAUCUUAAAGUCUCUGGCGUGCUUAGUCCUGCACUCGACACCACCCACGACUUGGGGUCUCAAAGAAGGUAAACCUGCCAUAAACUAGAAAUUAUGUAGCAUCUUUUUACUUGUGUUUAAACUCUACAUUCCCUAUUCUGUCUAUAGUUUUAGGAAUAUCUUAUCCUCUAUUUUUAAUUGAAUAAACUAUUAUUAUAGAGUUUGAAGGAAAGACUAUAAGCAUAUUCUCUAAGGAGUAAUGCAAUUUAGAAACAGCUCAUUAGCAACAAGAAUGUUAACUAUGAUAUUAAAGAAACAUUUGAAAUUAUUAAGUGCAUUUUCUAUCUCUUAAAUUAUUCCAAUAUAGAAAGCUGACUCAAUGGUUCCUAUAUCACAUUAUCAGUUGUUAUGAAUCAUUUAAAGAUCAGGGAAAAGUGCCCGUUAUUAAAAUUGAAGUUAAAUUUGAAUAACGCUUAAGGAAAUGUUUUACAUUCAUGGCCAUGUUACUUUUACUUAUGAGAAAUAGUACAUUAAUGGAUCUUAGUUUGUGCAUCAUGUGAAUGGUUGUCAAUCCUUCCACCACCAUGGGAGAAGUCAAAUUUUACAUACUUUCUGUUGUGAGGUCACCUCUUUUAUUUUGGUGUUUUCACAUUUUAUAGAUGCAGGUAUGAGUCUGCAAACAGCAAAUGGGUUAAGGUCAAGGAGUUCUUGAACCAAAUUAUUGGAUGAUUUUUCCUUAACCCCUUGAUCUCUUUCCUUUAAAAGAAGUCUAAACGUCAUAGUGGUUUUUCUGUUCUGUAAAAGUUGGAAUGAGUUAUCCACCUAUAAUUUGCGUGUGUUGGGAGAAUGAAGGGGAGAAGCUGGGUGUUCUGUGUUCUCAUCAGGUCCAGAAAGAAGUAGUUAUUCUAGGAAAAAAAAAUGUCUGAAAAGUAUGAUACCAUAUAAUAUGCAAUCACCGUCUUGUAUGUCAGGUUUACUGUUUGUUUUUCUCUUGUGUAAACCCAGGCAGAGCUAUAGAGGAAGUGAGAUAGAGUGAGUUCACAAAGCUUAUAUCAGUGCAGAAAGCAGAGCAAGACAAGAUAUCAAAAGGAAGUAAUGGCUGAUGGCAUGUUAACCUGAACAUUCGCUGAAGGUGGGACUGUUCUGAGAAACGUCUGCUCUCUUGUUUCUCUUAAGAGAAACCCAAGCAAAUGCUUCUGAACUUUCUGUAAUAAAAUUAUUGUCUUUUGAUUGUUUCUUUCUCAUAAAUAACCAAAAAUUUUUAUUGGGAAAUUCAAAAGAUUUGUUGGAUCUAUCCACUAGUUUGCAGGCAUGUUCUCUACCAUUCCCUGCAUAAAUAUUCUACACAUUAAACAAGAAAGCAACAUGUUCACUCUAAAAAAACUAAAUUAAUCAAAGGGAUCUUUUUAUUAGAUUGACAAAGAAGGAGGCCAGCACUCAAUGAAGUUGAACUUUCCCAUGCCUAACUCAAAGAAAGCUUUGCCUGUAGGAACAAUCUCUCCCAGCAGAGCGGGGAGUUGAUUAUAUGUAGGAUUCAGAGAGGUGUGCAGCUAAGAGGUGGGUGGACUUUGAGAAGUGGAGGUGCUCAUGCAUUUGGUUUUGCUAUUUGGGUGAUCAAUGUUACUUAGUAGUGUGCAUCUGGUGCUGAUUAGCUGGUUUUCCCAAGGGUGGUUCCUCACGUGAUUGUGCUGCCAAGUGGUGAACCUGCAGAAGUGUGGCCUGUCACUGGUUAGCUGGCUUUAAAAAGUGAUGUCACAGAGCUGAGUCGUCAUUGAUCCAUUAGAUGCACUUAAAACUGGUUCUUGUGGUUACUAGUUAUCAUGGUUAUGGGACACUCCGUGUUUUCCUGAGAGGGAAUUCUUACUCAGGAUCUCCCCUUUUGGCCAUCCCUUGUCCAAAGUUGCUGCCAAAGAUGCUGAAUGUCCUCGAUGUUGAGGCUUCAUUUACAGAAGUCUGGUUGAGAAUUUGAGUGUCAUCAUUUCAUCUUGUGUUUGCCUUUGAAUCAUUACUGGAUAAUUUGGUUGAACAAUCAUUUUUUUCCUUCAUUCUCUAAUUUGUUAUAGGUCUGAACAUUUUUACCUUUCUGUCAUUUUAUAGUAAUAGAUAUGGUUUCAAAUGUUUGAGUUUAUUCGGGAUUUUAUUUGUAGUAUUAUAAUAAAAGAAACACCAUGAACAACCAUCAAAGAGAAAGUGGGGUAAGGAAUAGAUCAAAUCACAUGAUCAGGUUGAGUGAUCAUUUUUGCGUAAGCAAAACUAUAGCCACCCUGUCCCAAAUGUUUAUCAGUCUACCAUUUGUUAAGGAUAAUUAAUGAUUAUAAAAUCCUUGAUAAAGAUGUAUUUUAAUAGCAUUACUUGCAAUUAUGGCCAUU
RNAcentral lists this long non-coding RNA (4061 nucleotides) under Equus caballus (horse). RNAcentral describes it as "lncRNA (ENSECAG00000029755.3)". The record is from RNAcentral. Lineage: Eukaryota; Metazoa; Chordata; Mammalia; Perissodactyla; Equidae.